GGGUUGUGAGGUUAAGCGACUAAGCGUACACGGUGGAUGCCCUGGCAGUCAGAGGCGAUGAAGGACGUGCUAAUCUGCGAUAAGCGCCGGUAAGGUGAUAUGAACCGUUAUAACCGGCGAUUUCCGAAUGGGGAAACCCAGUGUGACUCGUCACACUAUCAUUAACUGAAUCCAUAGGUUAAUGAGGCGAACCGGGGGAACUGAAACAUCUAAGUACCCCGAGGAAAAGAAAUCAACCGAGAUUCCCCCAGUAGCGGCGAGCGAACGGGGAGGAGCCCAGAGCCUGAAUCAGCAUGUGUGUUAGUGGAAGCGUCUGGAAAGGCGCGCGAUACAGGGUGACAGCCCCGUACACAAAAGCGCAUGUGCUGUGAGCUCGAUGAGUAGGGCGGGACACGUGGUAUCCUGUCUGAAUAUGGGGGGACCAUCCUCCAAGGCUAAAUACUCCUGACUGACCGAUAGUGAACCAGUACCGUGAGGGAAAGGCGAAAAGAACCCCGGCGAGGGGAGUGAAAAAGAACCUGAAACCGUGUACGUACAAGC
This 540-nucleotide ribosomal RNA is filed under the name Salmonella enterica subsp. enterica serovar Oranienburg. RNAcentral describes it as "partial 23S ribosomal RNA". It matches the Rfam family "Bacterial large subunit ribosomal RNA", at positions 1 to 571 of the family's 2925-position model. The record is from RNAcentral. RNAcentral also lists the same sequence under 1 other name. Lineage: Bacteria; Pseudomonadati; Pseudomonadota; Gammaproteobacteria; Enterobacterales; Enterobacteriaceae.